Molecule: non-coding RNA, 94 nt
Organism: Mycena rosella
Lineage: Eukaryota; Fungi; Basidiomycota; Agaricomycetes; Agaricales; Mycenaceae
Source: the annotation of a GenBank genome assembly
GGCUGUGUAGUGUAGCGGUUAUCACUUUAGAUUCUGAUGAGGCCGCAUAUGAGUUUGAAUUCUGGCGACCCCGGUUUGAUUCCGGGCAUGGCCU